RNAcentral lists this ribosomal RNA (451 nucleotides) under uncultured bacterium. Its description in RNAcentral is "bacterial SSU rRNA". It matches the Rfam family "Bacterial small subunit ribosomal RNA", at positions 329 to 794 of the family's 1533-position model. The record is from RNAcentral.
AGCCAGACUCCUACGGGAGGCAGCAGUGGGGAAUAUUGCACAAUGGGGGGAACCCUGAUGCAGCAAUGCCGCGUGAAGGAUGAAGGUUUUCGGAUUGUAAACUUCUUUUGUACGGGACGAAGAAAGUGACGGUACCGUAAGAAUAAGCCACGGCUAACUACGUGCCAGCAGCCGCGGUAAUACGUAGGUGGCAAGCGUUAUCCGGAUUUACUGGGCGUAAAGGGUGUGUAGGCGGGACUGCAAGUCAGAUGUGAAAAUUACGGGCUCAACCUGUAAACUGCAUUUGAAACUGUGGUUCUUGAGAGCCGGAGGGGUAAAUGGAAUUCCCAGUGUAGCGGUGAAAUGCGUAGAUAUUGGGAGGAACACCAGUGGCGAAGGCGAUUUACUGGACGGCAACUGACGCUGAGACACGAAAGUGUGGGGAGCAAACAGGAUUAGAUACCCCGGUACA